AGGACGAACGCUGGCGGCGUGCUUAACACAUGCAAGUCGAGCGGAAAGGCCCUUCGGGGUACUCGAGCGGCGAACGGGUGAGUAACACGUGAGUAAUCUGCCCUUAGCUCUGGGAUAGCUCCGGGAAACCGGGAUUAAUACCGGAUACGACUACUACGGACAUCUGUGGUGGUGGAAAGAACUUCGGCUAGGGAUGAGCUCGCGGCCUAUCAGCUUGUUGGUGGGGUAACGGCCUACCAAGGCGACGACGGGUA
This 254-nucleotide ribosomal RNA is filed under the name uncultured bacterium. RNAcentral's name for it is "partial small subunit ribosomal RNA". It matches the Rfam family "Bacterial small subunit ribosomal RNA", at positions 26 to 285 of the family's 1533-position model. The record is from RNAcentral.